ACGGGAGGCAGCAGUGGGGAAUAUUGCACAAUGGGCGAAAGCCUGAUGCAGCAACGCCGCGUGAGUGAUGAAGGCCUUCGGGUCGUAAAACUCUGUCCUCAAGGAAGAUAAUGACGGUACUUGAGGAGGAAGCCCCGGCUAACUACGUGCCAGCAGCCGCGGUAAUACGGAGGGGGCUAGCGUUAUCCGGAUUUACUGGGCGUAAAGGGUGCGUAGGCGGUCUUUCAAGUCAGGAGUGAAAGGCUACGGCUCAACCGUAGUAAGCGCUUGAAACUGGGAGACUUGAGUGCAGGAGAGGAGAGUGGAAUGCCUAGUGUAGCGGUGAAAUGCGUAGAUA
RNAcentral lists this ribosomal RNA (337 nucleotides) under Clostridioides difficile. RNAcentral's name for it is "bacterial SSU rRNA". It matches the Rfam family "Bacterial small subunit ribosomal RNA", at positions 341 to 696 of the family's 1533-position model. Lineage: Bacteria; Bacillati; Bacillota; Clostridia; Peptostreptococcales; Peptostreptococcaceae. The record is from RNAcentral.